GACAAACGCUGGCGGAAUGUAUUAGGCAUGCAAGUCGUACGAACCUUCGGGUUAGUGGCGAACGGGUGAGUAACACGUGGGUAACCUGCCUCGUAGUGGGGAAUAACUCGCCGAAAGGCGAGCUAAUACCGCAUAACACCCCCGGUGAGAAUCCGGGUGGUAAAAGCUCCGGCGCUACGAGAGGGGCCCGCGGCCGAUUAGCUAGUUGGUGGGGUAAUAGCCUACCAAGGCGACGAUCGGUAGCUGGUCUGAGAGGAUGGUCAGCCACACGGGGACUGAGAUACGGCCCCGACUCCUACGGGAGGCAGCAGCUAAGAAUCUUGCGCAAUGGGCGAAAGCCUGACGCAGCAAUUUCCGCGUGGGGGGACGAAGGCCCUCGGGUCGUAAACCCCCUUUUUGUGAGGGAAGAAGUUCUGACGGUACCUCACGAAUAAGACACGGCUAACUACGUGCCAGCAGCCGCGGUAAAGUCUGUACU
RNAcentral lists this ribosomal RNA (478 nucleotides) under uncultured bacterium. Its description in RNAcentral is "bacterial SSU rRNA". It matches the Rfam family "Bacterial small subunit ribosomal RNA", at positions 28 to 531 of the family's 1533-position model. The record is from RNAcentral.